This 560-nucleotide ribosomal RNA is filed under the name Wickerhamiella sorbophila. RNAcentral's name for it is "LSU rRNA". It matches the Rfam family "Eukaryotic large subunit ribosomal RNA", at positions 55 to 643 of the family's 3401-position model. The record is from RNAcentral. Lineage: Eukaryota; Fungi; Ascomycota; Dipodascomycetes; Dipodascales; Trichomonascaceae.
GGAAAAGAAACCAACAGGGAUUGCCUUAGUAGCGGCGAGUGAAGCGGCAAUAGCUCAAAUUUGAAAUCUGCCAACAGGCCGAGUUGUAAUUUGAAGAAAGCAAUUCUGGAUGUGUCUUUGCUCAAGUUCCUUGGAAUAGGACAUCAUGGAGGGUGAGAAUCCCGUGAUGCGAAGGUAGCACGUCUAUGUAGAAUGUUUUCGACGAGUCGAGUUGUUUGGGAAUGCAGCUCAAAGUGGGUGGUAAAUUCCAUCUAAAGCUAAAUAUUGGCGAGAGACCGAUAGCGAACAAGUACUGUGAAGGAAAGAUGAAAAGAACUUUGAAAAGAGAGUGAAAAAGUACGUGAAAUUGUUGAAAUGGAAGGGCUUGAGAUUAGACAUGGUGUUUAGUGUUCCGCUUUCUUUUGGGAAUGUGUACUCGCUUUACACCGGGCCAGCAUCAGUUUUGAUGGGAGGAUAAAAGGUAUUGAAUGUGGCUGCUUGCAGUGUUAUAGCUUUAUCAAAUACUUCCAAUCGGGACUGAGGACCGCGCAUUUGCUAGGAUGCUGGCGUAAUGAUCUUAA